RNAcentral lists this ribosomal RNA (973 nucleotides) under Tyto longimembris (Eastern grass-owl). RNAcentral describes it as "12S ribosomal RNA". It matches the Rfam family "Bacterial small subunit ribosomal RNA". The record is from RNAcentral. Lineage: Eukaryota; Metazoa; Chordata; Aves; Strigiformes; Tytonidae.
AAAGACUUAGUCCUGACCUUACCGUUAGUUCUUGCCAAGCAUAUACAUGCAAGUAUCAGCGCCCCAGUGUAAAUGCCCUGACCUUCUUAAUAAGAAAACAGGAGCGGGCAUCAGGCACGCCUACCAGUAGCCCAAGACGCCUUGCCCAGCCACACCCCCACGGGUACUCAGCAGUAAUUAACAUUAAGCAAUGAGCGCAAGCUUGACUUAGCUAUGGCAACCUUAAAGGGUUGGUAAAUCUUGUGCCAGCCACCGCGGUCACACAAGAAACCCAAACUAACUGUCCACGGCGUAAAGAGUGACACCCUAUUAUCCCGUAACUAGGCUCAAAAUGUAACUAAGCCGUCAUAAGCACAAGAUACACCAAAGCCCACCCUAAAAACGACCCUAGAACACACGAUCGACUGCACCCCACGAAAGCCAGGACCCAAACUGGGAUUAGAUACCCCACUAUGCCCGGCCCUAAAUCUAGAUGUUUAUAAUAACCAAAACAUCCGCCCGGGUACUACGAGCACAAACGCUUAAAACCCUAAGGACUUGGCGGUGCCCCAAACCCACCUAGAGGAGCCUGUUCUGUAAUCGAUACCCCACGAUACACCCGACCACCCCUUGCCAAAAACCAGCCUACAUACCGCCGUCGCCAGUCCACCUCCUAUGAAAGUCCAACAGUGGGCACAACAGCCAACUUCACUAACAAGACAGGUCAAGGUAUAGCCUAUGGGGUGGAAGAAAUGGGCUACAUUUUCUACCAUAGAUAAACUACGGAAGGGGUUGUGAAAUCCACCCCCGGAAGGCGGAUUUAGCAGUAAAGCGGGAUAAUGAAGCCCCCUUUAAACUGGCCCUGGGGCACGUACAUACCGCCCGUCACCCUCCUCACAAGCCACACAGUUCCCAUACAUUAAAACACCCACUAGCCGAAGACGAGGUAAGUCGUAACAAGGUAAGUGUACCGGAAGGUGCACUUAGCAUAUAC